This 447-nucleotide ribosomal RNA is filed under the name uncultured bacterium. RNAcentral's name for it is "bacterial SSU rRNA". It matches the Rfam family "Bacterial small subunit ribosomal RNA", at positions 330 to 793 of the family's 1533-position model. The record is from RNAcentral.
UCCAGACUCCUACGGGAGGCAGCAGUCGGGAAUAUUGCGCAAUGGAGGAAACUCUGACGCAGUGACGCCGCGUAUAGGAAGAAGGUCUUCGGAUUGUAAACUAUUGUCGUUAGGGAAGAGAAAGGACAGUACCUAAGGAGGAAGCUCCGGCUAACUACGUGCCAGCAGCCGCGGUAAUACGUAGGGGGCAAGCGUUAUCCGGAUUUACUGGGUGUAAAGGGAGCGUAGACGGCAGUGCAAGUCUGAAGUGAAAGCCCCGGGCUUAACCCGGGAAUUGCUUUGGAAACUGUACGGCUGGAGUGCUGGAGAGGUAAGCGGAAUUCCUAGUGUAGCGGUGAAAUGCGUAGAUAUUAGGAGGAACACCAGUGGCGAAGGCGGCUUACUGGACAGUAACUGACGUUGAGGCUCGAAAGCGUGGGGAGCAAACAGGAUUAGAUACCCGAGUAU